CGUGUAGGCGGUCGGUCAAGUCCGAUGUGAAAGCCCGGGGCUCAGCUCCGGAAGGGCAUCGGAAACUAGCCGGCUAGAGCGCGAUAGAGGAGGGUGGAAUUCCUGGUGUAGCGGUGAAAUGCGUAGAUAUCAGGAGGAACACCGGCGGCGAAGGCGGCCCUCUGGAUCGUUGCUGACGCUGAGAUGCGAAAGCGUGGGGAGCAAACAGGAUUAGAUACCCUGGUAGUCCACGCUGUAAACGAUGGGUACUAGGUGUUCGGGGUAUUGACCCCCUGAGUGCCGCAGCUAACGCAUUAAGUACCCCGCCUGGGGACUACGGCCGCAAGGUUAAA
RNAcentral lists this ribosomal RNA (332 nucleotides) under uncultured bacterium. RNAcentral describes it as "bacterial SSU rRNA". It matches the Rfam family "Bacterial small subunit ribosomal RNA", at positions 568 to 898 of the family's 1533-position model. The record is from RNAcentral.